RNAcentral lists this ribosomal RNA (446 nucleotides) under uncultured bacterium. RNAcentral describes it as "SSU rRNA". It matches the Rfam family "Bacterial small subunit ribosomal RNA", at positions 26 to 518 of the family's 1533-position model. The record is from RNAcentral.
AGAGCGAACGCUGGCGGCAGGCCUAAUACAUGCAAGUCGAACGAACCCUUCGGGGUGAGUGGCGGACGGGUGAGUAACACGUGGGAACGUACCCUUUGGUUCGGAACAACUCAGGGAAACUUGAGCUAAUACCGAAUGUGCCCUUCGGGGGAAAGAUUUAUCGCCAUUGGAGCGGCCCGCGUCUGAUUAGCUUGUUGGUGGGGUAAAGGCCCACCAAGGCAACGAUCAGCAGCUGGUCUGAGAGGAUGAUCAGCCACACUGGGACUGAGACACGGCCCAGACUCCUACGGGAGGCAGCAGUGAGGAAUUUCGUCAAUGGGGGCAACCCUGAACGAGCAACGCCGCGUGCAGGAUGAAGGUUUUCGGAUCGUAAACUGCUUUUCUCGGGGACGAGCAAGGACGGUACCCGAGGAAGAAGCCCCGGCUAACUACGUGCCAGCAGCCGC